AGUUUCUUAACCAUGUAGGAUAUACGAUUACAAAAUGCCUAAAAACGAAAAGUUAAAUAUUUUGAUGACUUGUCACUUUCUAUUUUUAGUGGACAUGAAAUGAAAGGUAUCAUUAACUCUUAGCAAAACAAGGAUUAGGAUGUUUAGUACCCAUGGUAACUUAUCAAAACUGCAAUAUCACAGAUAAAUCGGCACAAUACAAGGGUAUAACAGACAGCUGUAUACCACACUUUUAAGAUGUAUUGCUCCACAGUAUAUGACAUUUUAGUCCAAUGCAUUUUGGUUUGGGUUUAUAUGCAACCUUGCAUUAUGUUACUUGGACACUCCAUUUUUAAGUUGUUUGGAAGUGUCAACACUUUUGGGUGCUUGUGCAUAGCAUGACACAGCAUGACAUGGUUGGAGACUUGUAAGGUGUCCUAUUGAUGUUAGCACAACGUAUCUGAUAGUGUCAUGCUGGAGACUUGUACUUUUAAAUGCUGGACACUUCAAGUGAUAUGUCUUGAAGGUUUUCUGAACACUUUAAGCUAAUUUUUUUUGUGUUUUGUGUAAAGUUUUCACGUAUAUAGACACUUUAAGCAAAGUGUUGUUAUAUAUUUGAUUUUGAUAUAAUGUUAUCACAGUUACAAACACUUUAAGUGAAAUGUAAUUUUGUUUUAAAUAUAAAUGUAUCAUGGUUAGUUGUCAGUUUAAGUAUCUCAACAUAUCUUAAAUAACUUUACAUAAACCUAGUGAAUAGAUUAAACAAUUUGCAAACUCAUGGACGUUCCAUUGAAUUUAUUUGUAGAUUGCUUCUACUGAUAUAAGUUUCUCUGUUCUUAAAUAAGUAUCAAAAUGUACAAGCAUAUACUUGUACAUAUAUAAAUGUAAUAUCUCUCUCUCUCUUUCUCUGUAUGUGUGCAUGCAUGCCAU
RNAcentral lists this long non-coding RNA (909 nucleotides) under Phoenix dactylifera (date palm). RNAcentral's name for it is "long non-coding RNA (PDAC_LNC006094)". Lineage: Eukaryota; Viridiplantae; Streptophyta; Magnoliopsida; Arecales; Arecaceae. The record is from RNAcentral.